ACGAUUUCGGUGUAAAAAACCGUUUUCUACCUAUGUCUACGCGUACCACUUGUUUCCUCGGGGGGCUUGCCCCCCGCUAGGACCCUUUAUCAAACCUUUUUGUAAUAGCAGUCAGCGUCUGAUACUAAGUUAAUUAUUA
This 139-nucleotide unclassified non-coding RNA is filed under the name uncultured Rhizopycnis. Its description in RNAcentral is "sequence contains ITS1". The record is from RNAcentral. Lineage: Eukaryota; Fungi; Ascomycota.